RNAcentral lists this ribosomal RNA (477 nucleotides) under uncultured bacterium. Its description in RNAcentral is "partial 16S ribosomal RNA". It matches the Rfam family "Bacterial small subunit ribosomal RNA", at positions 28 to 506 of the family's 1533-position model. The record is from RNAcentral.
GACGAACGCUGGCGGCGCGCUUAACACAUGCAAGUCGAGCGAUGAAAUUUCGACAGAUCCCUUCGGGGUGAAGAUGAAAUGGAUUAGCGGCGGACGGGUGAGUAACACGUGAGUAACCUGCCUUUGACAUUGGGAUAGCCUCGGGAAACUGGGAUUAAUACCAAAUGACACUACUGAUCACAUGAUCAAUUAGUCAAAGAAAUUCGGUCAAAGAUGGACUCGCGGCUGAUUAGCCAGUUGGUGAGGUAACGGCCCACCAAGGCGACGAUCAGUAGCCGGCCUGAGAGGGUGAUCGGCCACAUUGGAACUGAGACACGGUCCAAACUCCUACGGGAGGCAGCAGUGGGGAAUAUUGCACAAUGGGGGAAACCCUGAUGCAGCGACGCCGCGUGAGCGAAGAAGGCCUUCGGGUCGUAAAGCUCUUUUAUGAGGGAAGAUAAUGACGGUGCCUCAAGAAAAAGCCCCGGCUAACUACGU